Drosophila biarmipes is the source of this 300-nucleotide long non-coding RNA. RefSeq lists it as uncharacterized. Lineage: Eukaryota; Metazoa; Arthropoda; Insecta; Diptera; Drosophilidae. The transcript is spliced from 2 exons. The record is from RefSeq and is a predicted model, not a curated record.
UUUGCUUUUUUGAUUUCAAAUUUAUAAUAAUAAAAUAUUCCAUAAUAAUAAUAUUCUAUAUGGUGAAGGCAGAGAAAGAAGAGGUAAAACCGGCCGCUCGCACAGAGAAAGCUGGAGAAGCCAUCACCAGCCAUUGCCAAGGUGCUGGGUUGGGAUUUCCGGAAUAUCGAGAGUUGGAGCUGAGCAGAAUGCGUAGGGAAGAUCCUUCCCACUACAAGUAUACACAACAAAAGACACGUUUAACAUUCAUAUUACAUUUUUUUAAUUCCUAUACACCAAUAAAUUGUAUUUGUAUUUUUA